RNAcentral lists this ribosomal RNA (467 nucleotides) under uncultured bacterium. RNAcentral's name for it is "partial 16S ribosomal RNA". It matches the Rfam family "Bacterial small subunit ribosomal RNA", at positions 28 to 507 of the family's 1533-position model. The record is from RNAcentral.
GACGAACGCUGGCGGCGUGCUUAACACAUGCAAGUCGAACGGAAAGGCUCCAGCUUGCUGGAGUACUCGAGUGGCGAACGGGUGAGUAACACGUGGGUAAUCUGCCCUGCACUCUGGGAUAAGCCUGGGAAACUGGGUCUAAUACUGGAUAUGACCUUUCUCCUUAUGGGGUUUGGUGGAAAGUUUUUCGGUGUAGGAUGAGCCCGCGGCCUAUCAGCUUGUUGGUGGGGUGAUGGCCUACCAAGGCGUCGACGGGUAGCCGGCCUGAGAGGGUGGUCGGCCACAAUGGGACUGAGAUACGGCCCAGACUCCUACGGGAGGCAGCAGUGGGGAAUAUUGCACAAUGGGCGGAAGCCUGAUGCAGCGACGCCGCGUGAGGGAUGACGGCCUUCGGGUUGUAAACCUCUUUCAGCAGGGACGAGGCGUAAGUGACGGUACCUGCAGAAGAAGCACCGGCUAACUAUGUG